GCCCCCCCAAAGCCCAACCACCCCAAACUAAACCCACCCAACUAAACUAACCAAAACCUUUGACAAAGAUAGUAGCUGUGAGCAAACCCAACCUAUAGACGCAAUAGAGGAAGUACUGUAAAGGAAAAAUGAAAGAUCGUUACCCAGCAAGCAAAAAAAAGCAGCGAUAAAACCCCGUACCUCCUGCAUCACCGUUUAGCAAGAAAACACGAACAAGAAGACCUCCAAGUCCGCCCACCCGAAUGCAAGUGAGCUAUCUUUCGGCAGCUAGACGAGCGAACCAAUUUCUGUAGCAAAAGAACUGGAAGACCAAAAGAUAGAGGCGAAAAACCAAUCGAACUUGCCGAUAGCUGGUUGCCUGGUAAACGAAUCUAAGUUCAACCUUGAGGCCACACUAUUCCACAAAAUAACCCCUUGCCCCAAGAUUUAAUCAAUGAAGGCACAGCUCCAUUGAUAGAGGAUACAACCUGAAGCAGAGAGAAAGCUAUACACUCUUAACCCGUGGGCCUCAAAACAGCCACCAAAAAAUAUAACGUUAAAGUAACGAUUAAAAAAUGUCAACAGCCUAUUCAACCUCCCGCCACCCCACCAGGCCACUCUAUAAACAUAGAAGAAAUGAUGCUAAAACUAGUAACAAGAAAAAUUCUCCACGAACAAAAUUCUAUUAUUACCAGACCUAAACCGGCAGUAUGAGACGUAUUUCACACACCAUUUUUCCCACUGUAAAACCAACCCAGGAUUGUUCACGGAAGACUUACAGCUAGAAAAGGAACUCGGCAAACAAUUUUUCCAACUGUUUACCAAAAACAUAGCCUUUAGCCCACCCAAGUAUUAAAGGUAACGCCUGCCCAGUGAGACACAACCUUAAACGGCCGCGCUUAAUACCGUGCAAAGGUAGCAAAAUCAUUUGUCCUCUAAAUAGGGACCAGCAUGAAUGGCAACAUGAGAAAAACCCUGUCUCUUCAAGCUAGUCAGUGAAACUGAUCUGCCUGUUAAAAAGCAGGCAUACAAAAAUAAGACAAAAAGACCCUGUGAAACUUCAAAUGUCUUCCAACCAGAUGGUAAGACAUUUUUCGGUUGGGGCAACCUAUGAGAACUAAACCUCAUAAAAUCAUGAGGCACACAAGCCAAACGAGCACCAAUGAUCCAGUACCACUGAUCAAAGAACAAAGCUACUCCAGGGAUAACAGCGCCACAUUCUUAAAGAGUCCAUAUCAACAAGAAUACCUACGACCUCGAUGUUGGAUCAGGGCACCCAAAUGGCGCAGAAGCUAUUAAAGGUUCGUUUGUUCAACGAUUAAAGUCCUACGUGAUCUGAGUUCAGACCGGAGUAAUCCAGGUCGGUCUAUAUCUAUUAGAUGCUUCGACCAGUACGAAAGGACCGAAGAAGCAGGGGCUAUUUCAACAACACCCCCUUCAACCAAGCGCUGCACAUAAAUCAAGCACAACCCUACACCCGCCCCAAGACAAGGGAAAACGCCCGCACACACUGCGGGCGUUUAUU
RNAcentral lists this ribosomal RNA (1504 nucleotides) under Draco maculatus. RNAcentral describes it as "16S ribosomal RNA". It matches the Rfam family "Bacterial large subunit ribosomal RNA". The record is from RNAcentral. Lineage: Eukaryota; Metazoa; Chordata; Lepidosauria; Squamata; Agamidae.